CCUACGGGAGGCAGCAGUGGGGAAUUUUGGACAAUGGGCGCAAGCCUGAUCCAGCCAUGCCGCGUGAGUGAAGAAGGCCUUCGGGUUGUAAAGCUCUGUCGGGUGGGAAGAUGUGGUCCGGCUAAUCACCGGAUUGUGACGGUACCAUCAAAGGAAGCACCGGCUAACUCCGUGCCAGCAGCCGCGGUAAUA
This 192-nucleotide ribosomal RNA is filed under the name uncultured Rhodocyclaceae bacterium. Its description in RNAcentral is "partial 16S ribosomal RNA". It matches the Rfam family "Bacterial small subunit ribosomal RNA", at positions 338 to 525 of the family's 1533-position model. The record is from RNAcentral. Lineage: Bacteria; Pseudomonadati; Pseudomonadota; Betaproteobacteria; Rhodocyclales; Rhodocyclaceae.